CAUGUGAUCGAUGUGAGAGCCGGCCUCUUGUUCCUCUCCUCUCAAGACACAGCGCUGCAUUUAUCCAUAUCCCCUAUAAAUAUAUACAUACAUGCUAUGGCGUUUAUAUCAAUCAAGUUCAGAGACAAGCCUCCUUGAGAUCGAUUUUAACUGGCGAGUCGUCUCAUUACGCGGAGAUAUAUAGCAAAGAUGAGCUCCACUGACGCUACCACCGCCGCCGCUGCCGGAGCCCCUUGCGCCAGUGAGCAGCUAAGGUCAUGGCCGGAGUUGGUCGGGCUGUCCAUCGAGGAGGCGAAGAAGGUGAUCCUCAAGGACAUGCCGGACGCCAGCAUCGUCGUCCUCCCGGCCGGCUCGGCGACCACCAGGGACUUGAGGCGCGACCGCGUCCGCAUCUUCGUCGACACCGUCGCCGAGAUCCCCCGCGUUGGCUAGAGACAAUGAUUCGUGAAAAGAUUAUGGAAUAACAAAUUGAUGGAAGAACAAAUGCAUGCAUGCUGAGCAUCAGCAUGACAUGGAUCGGUCGAUGUAUUUUGUGUUUAAUUUAUUGGAUCGAAGCUUGAAACCGAUCUGCAGAAACACGAUUUUAACGGAAGUUUUUGCAAACCCUAAAGCUCUAUCUCUUGAUGAAAAAAA
Molecule: long non-coding RNA, 633 nt
Organism: Brachypodium distachyon (stiff brome)
Lineage: Eukaryota; Viridiplantae; Streptophyta; Magnoliopsida; Poales; Poaceae
Exons: 2
Source: RefSeq, a predicted model, not a curated record